GGGAUUACCUCAGUAACGGCGAGUGAAGCGGUAACAGCUCAAAUUUGAAAUCUGCCGCAAGGCCGAGUUGUAAUUUGUAGAAGAUGCUUUGGGUAUGGCCCCGGUCUAAGUUCGUUGGAACACGACGUCAUAGAGGGUGAGAAUCCCGUAUGUGACUGGGUGCUUUUGCCUAUGUAAAGCUCUUUCGACGAGUCGAGUUGUUUGGGAAUGCAGCUCAAAAUGGGUGGUAUAUUUCAUCUAAAGCUAAAUAUUGGCCAGAGACCGAUAGCGCACAAGUAGAGUGAUCGAAAGAUGAAAAGCACUUUGGAAAGAGAGUUAAACAGUACGUGAAAUUGUUGAAAGGGAAGCGCUUGCAACCAGACUUGCACGCUGUUGAUCAUCCAGGCUUCUGUUUGGUGCACUCAACUGCGUUCAGGCCAGCAUCGGUUUUGGUGGUGGGAUAAAGGCCUUGGGAAUGUAGCUUCUUUCGGGGAGUGUUAUAGCCCUCGGUGCAAUGCCGCCUACUGGGACCGAGGACCGCGCUUCGGCUAGGAUGCUGGCGUAAUGGUUGUAAGCGACCCGUCUUGAAACACGGACCAAGGAGUCUAACAUCUAUGCGAGUGUUUGGGUGUCAAACCCAUACGCGUAAUUAACGUGAACGGAGGUGAGAACCCUUAAGGGUGCAUCAUCGACCGAUCCUGAUGUCUUCGGAUGGAUUUGAGUAAGAGCAUAGCUGUUGGGACCCGAAAGAUGGUGAACUAUGCCUGAAUAGGGUGAAGCCAGAGGAAACUCUGGUGGAGGCUCGCAGCGGUUCUGACGUGCAAAUCGAUCGUCAAAUUUGGGUAUAGGGGCGAAAGACUAAUCGAACCA
This 849-nucleotide ribosomal RNA is filed under the name Tricladium patulum. RNAcentral describes it as "eukaryotic LSU rRNA". It matches the Rfam family "Eukaryotic large subunit ribosomal RNA", at positions 71 to 942 of the family's 3401-position model. Lineage: Eukaryota; Fungi; Ascomycota; Leotiomycetes; Helotiales; Tricladiaceae. The record is from RNAcentral.